Long non-coding RNA from Pongo pygmaeus (Bornean orangutan), 1094 nucleotides. RefSeq lists it as uncharacterized. The record is from RefSeq and is a predicted model, not a curated record. NCBI's taxonomy places the organism in Eukaryota, Metazoa, Chordata, Mammalia, Primates, Hominidae. The transcript has 3 exons.
GCAGGAUUGCGGACGGGCAGCACUCUUUCUGCAGAAGUCUGAAGGCUGGGAAGUCCGAGAUCAAGGUGCUGACUGAUUUGGUUCCUGGUGAGGGCCCUCCUCCUGGCUUUCCGAUGGCUGCCUUCUUGCUGUCUCCUUAUAAGACGAGGUCUCACUCUGUCACCCAGGCUGGAGUGCAGUGGCAUGAUCUCAGCUCACUGCAACUUCUGCCUCCCAGGCUCAAGAAAUCCUCCCACUUCAGCCUUCCAAGUACCUGGGACCACAGACGUGCACCACUAUGCCUGGAUAAUUUUUUUGUACAAACAAAAAGCCAAAGGUGAGGUUACAAAAUUGACUUUAUGUAGGGAGACCCCCUGAAACUAUUGCUAUGGAAUAAAAGACGAAAUGCUCCCGAUUAUUGUAAAUACGAAAUUGCAUGCAGGAUUGUGUAAAGACAAUGCCAGGUUGGACUGCCAUAACAAGCCAACAGCGCGUGAUGUGCUUCUCCCUGCAGAGAGCCUAUGAAUGGACGUGCAGUCAGGGAGGUUUCACAUCACCAAGAUUCCUAUCCCAGAAAAGCGGAUGUUCAUAGCUCUGGGAAUGGAAUGCGACCCUUGUGGAGAGCCUAUAAAUGGACGCAUGAGGGGCACCUGUCCAUGUGGAUAAGAUAGGGCUAUAAAUGCCCUCAACUUGCCACAGCUCUUCUAGGCCUCUUUAGGGUUAAGGCAUACUCCCUUCUGAGAAUUUCUGGUCUAACCGGUUGUCUAGUUUCAUGUCCUGUUUCUAUGGAUUGUUUGUAACCAGCUUUUGCUGCAACUGUUACUGCUGAUUAAUAUCUUGCUAAUCAUAGGUUAUGGAAAGACUGUGUUUCUGUUUUUUGACUCUGUUAGAAAUUACUGAUGCACACACUAUAUUAUAAAUUCUUAUCUCUGCAUACUGUACUUCUGCAUACAGAUGUUAUGUUAAAGAAUUACUUCAUCCCCAUGUGACCAUCUCACCUCAUAAUCAAAUGACCCUAAAUCCCUCACUAACCUACCCCCGCCCUCACUAAACUUAAUAAUAAAUGCUGGUAUAUCCAGUGCAUUGUUGGCGCUGCAGGACCAGAAGGCGGUGAC